This is a long non-coding RNA of Helianthus annuus (common sunflower), 1066 nucleotides long. RefSeq lists it as uncharacterized. The transcript is spliced from 3 exons. Lineage: Eukaryota; Viridiplantae; Streptophyta; Magnoliopsida; Asterales; Asteraceae. The record is from RefSeq and is a predicted model, not a curated record.
ACACGCAUACAUGAUCUGCUCUCUCUCAUCUUCCUCACUUCACAAUAAAAACCCUAGCCCCCUUAUACUUUUACCCAUCUUCUCUUAUCUCAUCUGCAGAGAUUUGAUAUAAACACACACACAUGAAAUCAGAGUCAUAACCAUCUCCCAGCACAGCCAUACCUACACCGAUCGGACUAGAGAGAGAGAGAGAGAGAGAGAGAGCGGCGGAGAAGAACCAACGGCGGCAGCAGCGCUGCCGUCUACGGCGGAGCGACGGAGGACCGGCGACGGUGGUCCUUUUUGACUGAUGAGUUUCUGUUCCGACGAAGAUCACAACCGGCCGAAGUUGUCAGAGCCGGUGGUGCACCGGCGGCGACAGGCGGCGCUGACGCCGCUCACGGCGGUGGCGGUGGUGGAAUUUCGCGAAGAUUGUUCAGUUUUUGUCCACAUCGAUGAAAAUGGUGAUGAUUUUUCCUGUUAGUAGUAUAGGUGUAUGAUGUAUUGGCGACGGAAGAUGACAACCGUGACGGUGGGGGUGGCUAACGGAGGCGCACGGCAGCAGUAGUGGUUAUCAUCUUUUAAUUUGGGUUCGAGUGAAGAGGUUACGGAUUCGGGUUAUGUUUGGUUAGAUCCAGCUGAGUUUGGUUUUCUUUCGGGUGAGAAUUUGGUUCUGAGUUGGAUUCGUUUCGGGCUCGGUCAACAGCCGUCAACGAGGAGUUCAGGUCAAACAAAGUCAAACCAGUCAACACGUCAGGUUGACUGGUCAACGGGAGUCAAGGGCAGAAUUUGAUUUGGGUUUCGCGACUCAGUGGGGUUCGAGUCAACUCAGCUGCGUUUCGGGUCAAACCCGGUUGGCUCGGUCAACACCCGAGUCAACUCGGGUCGACAACAGGUCAAGGCAGUCAACAACAGUCAACGCUCGGUCAACACGGGAGGCCCGGUAAAGUUGUUAGCGUAGCAAGUUAGUUACGUUAGAUUUUAGUUAGUUAUACGCGACCGAGCUCGACCCGAAUCGAUUAGCGAUUGGUUACAUUUUAUUUUGUCGUAUUUCAUAAUGUUUUAGUAUAUAUUGUCUGUUGAGUGA